CAGCCGCCGCGGUAAUACCUGCAGCUCGAGUGGUGGCCGCUAUUAUUGGGCCUAAAACGUCCGUAGCCGGUUUAUCAAAUGCCUGGGUAAAUCGGGCCGCUUAACGGUUCGAAUUCCGGGUAGACUGAUAAACUUGAGACCGGGGGAAGUUGGAGGUACUCCUGGGGUAGGGGUGAAAUCCUGUAAUCCUAGGGGGACCACCGGUGGCGAAGGCGUCCAACUAGAACGGGUCUGACGGUGAGGGACGAAGCCCUGGGGAGCAAACGGGAGUAGAUACCCCGGUAGUCCAGGGUGUAAACGCUGCCUGCUUGAUGUUAGUCUGGCUCCGGGCCAGGCUAGUGUCGGAGAGAAGUUGUUAAGCAGGCGGCCUGGGGAGUACGGUCGCAAGACUGAAACUUAAAGGAAUUGGCGGG
This 413-nucleotide ribosomal RNA is filed under the name uncultured microorganism. RNAcentral describes it as "bacterial SSU rRNA". It matches the Rfam family "Archaeal small subunit ribosomal RNA", at positions 459 to 872 of the family's 1478-position model. The record is from RNAcentral.